Molecule: signal recognition particle RNA, 300 nt
Filed under: Delphinapterus leucas (beluga whale)
Lineage: Eukaryota; Metazoa; Chordata; Mammalia; Artiodactyla; Monodontidae
Description: Metazoan signal recognition particle RNA (ENSDLEG00000010704.1)
Rfam family: Metazoan signal recognition particle RNA
About the family: The signal recognition particle (SRP) is a universally conserved ribonucleoprotein. It is involved in the co-translational targeting of proteins to membranes. The eukaryotic SRP consists of a 300-nucleotide 7S RNA and six proteins: SRPs 72, 68, 54, 19, 14, and 9.
Source: Rfam by way of RNAcentral
GCCGGGCGCGGUGGCGCGCGCCUGUAGUCCCAGCUACUCGGGAGGCUGAGGCAGGAGGAUCGCUUGAGUCCAGGAGUUCUGGGCUGUAGUGCGCUAUGCCGAUCGGGUGUCCGCACUAAGUUCGGCAUCAAUAUGGUGACCUCCCGGGAGCGGGGGACCACCAGGUUGCCUAAGGAGGGGUGAACCGGCCCAGGUCGGAAACGGAGCAGGUCAAAACUCCCGUGCUGAUCAGUAGUGGGGUCGCGCCUGUGAAUAGCUACUGCACUCCAGCCUGGGCAACAUAGCGAGACCCCGUCUCUU